This 427-nucleotide ribosomal RNA is filed under the name uncultured bacterium. RNAcentral's name for it is "partial 16S ribosomal RNA". It matches the Rfam family "Bacterial small subunit ribosomal RNA", at positions 355 to 774 of the family's 1533-position model. The record is from RNAcentral.
UGGGGAAUAUUGCACAAUGGGCGCAAGCCUGAUGCAGCCAUGCCGCGUGUAUGAAGAAGGCCUUCGGGUUGUAAAGUACUUUCAGUCGGGAGGAAGGUGUCAAGGUUAAUAACCUUGGCAAUUGACGUUACCGACAGAAGAAGCACCGGCUAACUCCGUGCCAGCAGCCGCGGUAAUACGGAGGGUGCAAGGGUUAAUCGGAAUUACUGGGCGUAAAGCGCACGCAGGCGGUUGAUUGAGUCAGAUGUGAAAUCCCCGGGCUUAACCCGGGAAUUGCAUCUGAUACUGGUCAGCUAGAGUCUUGUAGAGGGGGGUAGAAUUCCAUGUGUAGCGGUGAAAUGCGUAGAGAUGUGGAGGAAUACCGGUGGCGAAGGCGGCCCCCUGGACAAAGACUGACGCUCAGGUGCGAAAGCGUGGGGAGCAAACA